UUAAGUUCAGCGGGUAUCCCUACCUGAUCCGAGGUCAACAUUUCAGAAGUGGGUUGUUUUACGGCGUGGUCUCGUAGCGUAUCCGAUGCGAGGUGUAUUACUACGCAGGAGAUGCCGCAGCGUGACCGCCACUGUAUUUCGGGGGCGGCCUGCCGCGAGUUGCGGCGGUGGCCGGUCCCCAACACCAAGCCCGGGGGCUU
This 200-nucleotide unclassified non-coding RNA is filed under the name Calcarisporium sp. Its description in RNAcentral is "partial internal transcribed spacer 2". Lineage: Eukaryota; Fungi; Ascomycota; Sordariomycetes; Hypocreales; Calcarisporiaceae. The record is from RNAcentral.